RNAcentral lists this non-coding RNA (29 nucleotides) under Mus musculus (house mouse). Lineage: Eukaryota; Metazoa; Chordata; Mammalia; Rodentia; Muridae. The record is from RNAcentral.
UCUACUUAAUUAAAAACGGGUNUGGGGUU